Molecule: ribosomal RNA, 253 nt
Filed under: uncultured bacterium
Lineage: Bacteria
Description: partial 16S ribosomal RNA
Rfam family: Bacterial small subunit ribosomal RNA
Source: RNAcentral
UACGAAGGGGGCUAGCGUUGCUCGGAAUCACUGGGCGUAAAGGGUGCGUAGGCGGCUUAUCAAGUCAGGCGUGAAAUUCCCGGGCUCAACCUGGGGGCUGCGCUUGAUACUGAUUGGCUUGAAUGCGGGAGAGGAUAGUGGAAUUCCCAGUGUAGAGGUGAAAUUCGUAGAUAUUGGGAAGAACACCGGUGGCGAAGGCGGCUAUCUGGCCCGUAAUUGACGCUGAGGCGCGAAAGCGUGGGGAGCAAACAGG